RNAcentral lists this unclassified non-coding RNA (400 nucleotides) under uncultured fungus. Its description in RNAcentral is "sequence contains ITS1". The stretch from base 1 to 105 matches the Rfam family "5.8S ribosomal RNA", at positions 50 to 154 of the family's 154-position model. Lineage: Eukaryota; Fungi. The record is from RNAcentral.
GAAAUGCGAAACGUAAUGUGAUCCGCAUACACCUGUGAGUCAUCAAGUCUUUGAACGCACAUGGCACUCGUUGCUUCGGCGACGAGUAUACCUGUUUGAGAAUCGGUUCCGUACUACCGCCAGUUGCGCGGUGAUCUGACGGCGUCUUUGGCAGUGUGGUGGUGGUGGUAGUAAUACUGCUGCUGUACGCCGCCAAAGUCCGUCCAAAUGGAGCGUGUGGGGCGGGCGCGAGUGUGCUCCGGCGCCGUGUGGUACAGGACAGUUUGUCUUUGCGAGCACGGAUGCAACGUCGGGGCGCGCGCGCGUCUGCGCAACAACCCGCAUGAACGCCAACUCGCUUCGGCGAGGCGGCCAAACGGCUGUGGGCCGUGACAAUCAUUGAUCUCAAAUCAGGCAAGGC